UAGGAGGAUGAAGGCACUGCCAGAGCCUGACUUCCUACUAUGAAAAAGUGUUCCAGGAACAUCAGAUUGGAGAAACUGACCCACUGGAACUUAAAACAUACUUGGUGCAAAUGGCUUCAUCUAGAUUUGGGAAGUCAUCCAGGAGUAUUUGAAUCCAAGGUGGGGUCUGCUCAUCAGUGGUCUGUUUCAAACGCUGCCUGGUGAUUUGGUUCACAGCAAGGAUUAAGACCCACUGGAUUAGACUGAAAGCUCCAUGAAGAUAGGACAGUUGACUGUCUAGCUCGCCAUCAUACCACCUUUUCUAGUUCAGUGCUGGAAACAUGGUGGCGCAGUGGUUGAGAAUCCGCCUGCCAAUGCAGGGGACGCAGGUUCAAUCCCUGCUCCAGGAAGAUCCCACAUGCCGCGGAGCAGCUGGGCCGGUGUGCCGCAACUAUUGAGCCUGUGCUUUAGAGCCUGUGAGCCACAACUGUUGAGCCCAAGUGCUGCAGCUACUGGGGCCCAUGCGCCUAGAGCCCGAGCUUCGCAACAAGAGAAGCCACGGCAACGAGGAGCCUGUGCACCGCAGUGAAGAAUAGCCCCCACUCACUGCAACUAAAAAGAAAACCCC
Molecule: long non-coding RNA, 607 nt
Organism: Hippopotamus amphibius kiboko
Lineage: Eukaryota; Metazoa; Chordata; Mammalia; Artiodactyla; Hippopotamidae
Exons: 5
Source: RefSeq, a predicted model, not a curated record